RNAcentral lists this ribosomal RNA (484 nucleotides) under uncultured bacterium. RNAcentral's name for it is "bacterial SSU rRNA". It matches the Rfam family "Bacterial small subunit ribosomal RNA", at positions 23 to 482 of the family's 1533-position model. The record is from RNAcentral.
CUCAGAUUGAACGCUGGCGGCAGGCCUAACACAUGCAAGUCGAGCGGAAACGACACUAACAAUCCUUCGGGUGCGUUAAUGGGCGUCGAGCGGCGGACGGGUGAGUAAUGCCUAGGAAAUUGCCUUGAUGUGGGGGAUAACCAUUGGAAACGAUGGCUAAUACCGCAUAAUGCCUACGGGCCAAAGAGGGGGAUCUUCGGACCUCUCGCGUCAAGAUAUGCCUAGGUGGGAUUAGCUAGUUGGUGAGGUAAUGGCUCACCAAGGCGACGAUCCCUAGCUGGUCUGAGAGGAUGAUCAGCCACACUGGAACUGAGACACGGUCCAGACUCCUACGGGAGGCAGCAGUGGGGAAUAUUGCACGAAUGGGCGAAAGCCUGAUGCAGCCAUGCCGCGUGUGUGAAGAACGGCCUUCGGGUUGUAAACGCACUUUCGAGCGAGGAGGAAACGGUCAGUAAGUAUAUUUGCUGGCUGUGACGUUACUCGC